RNAcentral lists this long non-coding RNA (643 nucleotides) under Helianthus annuus (common sunflower). RNAcentral's name for it is "sRNA HanXRQr2_Chr17g0781331". The record is from RNAcentral. Lineage: Eukaryota; Viridiplantae; Streptophyta; Magnoliopsida; Asterales; Asteraceae.
GACAACAGCAAAUCUUGUGAAAUCUGUAAUCUUUCGAAAAACCCACAUCAAAUCUUGAAAGAUCUGUAAUCUUUUGACAUACCCACAUCAAAUCUUAUGAAAUCUCUUAUCUUUUUGAAGAACCUACGUCGAUCCUUGAAGGAAUAUUUUGAAUUUUGAGGGCUAAAGUUGAAAAAAAGAUGAAAGAUGAGAAUGGUACUAACAGCAGCGGCGGCGGCGGCAGCGGAGAGAGGCGGAGCCACCGGCUGUCGUUGUCGGAUGUGGUGUCUAAUUGUUUGAGGAGGUGGGUGAAGAAGAGGAAAGGCUUCACGGAUUGUGGGUGAAAGCAGAUGGUGAGGAAGAGGGGGUAUCGUUUGGUCUGAGGUGCGGUCGGAAUCUGCUGUUGGUCGGAGUGGGUCUCCGGCGACCGGAGGUUAGAGAGGAGAAGAGGAGUGUGGGCUUGUACGGUUGUGAAGUGUGGGCUUGUACGGUUGUGAAGCAGAUGCAGCGGAUGUUUGUUGGAUUGGCUGGGAUAGAUUGUAGAUGAUGAGCAAAGUGUUCAGGAAUCAGAAACACUGCUCUGAUACCAUAACAACAGGUAUAGAGAUAAAAAAUGUUUUUGAUUACUGAGUUCAUGCUUGAAUAAACAUACAUAUGCCCAAUU